GAACAAUAUGUACAAUUGAUUGCUAUAGGAAUAGAAACCAGGAUUAUGAAACUUCCUGAAGCCUUUGUAAAGGCUGAAUGGAGUGUGUGAUAGCAAAAUUAGAACUAAGUCUUUAUUUUAAAAGAAUAUAGUUAUUAAAAGCAACAGACCUAAUUUCACCUUGUUUUAUUCUCCAUUGGUGGAACAAAAGAUGCCUCUAAUUUUCAUUACAAUUUAAAUUUUUUGUGCCUUCUCACAAUCUUAAGUCUGAGAAUCCAGUGAGGUGUGUGAAUGCAAGGGUUAAACCCAGAGAGGUCUGAUGCAGUUUAUGAGAUCCAGACUACCUGAACAGGGAUAUAGGUGAACCCUUACAGGUAUGAAAGCUGAAGCUGCUUCCUUUAUGUAGCAGUAAAAGGCAACAUGACCUACUUCUCCCAUUGGGAUGACUUGCCAGGGAGGGUGCAGAUGGCAUUGCUGUACCUUUGGUGGGGCAUCCUGUCCCCUUGGUAGGUAGGGUCUGCUGAUGAACAGAAGGUACAGCCUCAGUGUGCUGUGCUGUAGCUGUCUCUGGCUGAGAAGCAGCUGUUAAGGAGGAGGAGGAGGAAAAAGGAGGGAGAAAUGGCAAUCAGACCACCAUGAUUUUAUAUAAUUAUCUGGCUAAACAGAUAAAACAGGCCCUAGCCCAGGGUAUAAUUAGUCGUGUCCGGCACAUCCUCCUGGGCAGGGAGAUAAACUGCAGCCUCUGCCAGCUGGGGCAGUGCCAGUACCAUGAAUUAGCACAGCAUGCUCCAGAAGCUUCUCUUUCUGCACCAGCAUAGCCCAGCGUAUUCCCAAAAGGGCACAGGAGGUGAGUAAGCAAGUGGUGAAAGUACAGCAAUUGUGAGCCACACAGGCAUUUUCCUGGAAAAGCAUCCUCUCCAAGCCUCUUCUGAGAUGUGUUAUUAAAGUAUUCUCUACUGAAAGCUAGGAGGUUGUGCUUCGGUCACACUUCUAAGUUGUUAUGUAAAGGGAUUCUCUUCUUAACUUAGGAAAAGAAACGUACAUGACUUAAACUAAGACUCUGCUUGGAGGAGAAAUUCUUCCUCUCCUUUCUCUUCCUUACUUUCAUCUCUUGCAUAACUGCACACAACUUAAAGCAGUUGUUGGCUGAACACAAAAAUGUGUCUCUACAUGAGCAAGGAAUAAUGGGGACUAGAAAACAAGGUAUUCACAUCUCUAAUUUGAGUCAAAACAAUUCUAGCUAUUGAAAACAAAAAAGUAGUGAAAAAA
This 1248-nucleotide long non-coding RNA is filed under the name Cyanistes caeruleus (blue tit). RNAcentral's name for it is "lncRNA (ENSCCEG00000015082.1)". The record is from RNAcentral. Lineage: Eukaryota; Metazoa; Chordata; Aves; Passeriformes; Paridae.